UGAUAAGGACUGUUAGAGGCACUUAAAAUUUCGGAUGGAGUCCGGCAACGCUGGCACAUGGAAGUGCCAGCGAGGUGCAUAUGAACAUGGAUGUGAAUUUGCACCGGUUGCCAGAAGAAAAUAAAAAUGAAAUCGAAAUUCUUAGUGCCUCUUGCAGUUCUUAUGG
Molecule: regulatory RNA element, 166 nt
Organism: Roseburia sp. CAG:45
Lineage: Bacteria; Bacillati; Bacillota; Clostridia; Lachnospirales; Lachnospiraceae
Source: Rfam